Long non-coding RNA from Panicum virgatum (switchgrass), 2136 nucleotides. RefSeq lists it as uncharacterized. The transcript has 2 exons. The record is from RefSeq and is a predicted model, not a curated record. NCBI's taxonomy places the organism in Eukaryota, Viridiplantae, Streptophyta, Magnoliopsida, Poales, Poaceae.
AAAACAUCUUUGCAUCCGCCACCCUGAAUUGUUGUGUGUUUUAAUUCAAUCCCUCUUCCCUAACCUUUCGCUUUCUUCCUCAACCAAGCGACUUCGGACUUCCUGACCACCGCAGAUAAGCAAGCGACCAUCGGCAAGAUGUGCCAAAAUCCCUUCCUUUCCAUCUCAAGUUCGAAUCGAAAUCUAAUCUCGUCUUCUCCCUAAUUUCAGGCGCACUGGUCCAGUUGUUGUAGGUUAGGGUUUGACCUCGCCAUUGUAGCAGCGAUCUAUGGCAUUACCGUCCACACAGAAGAGGCACUAGAGAGAUGUGAACGAAGCCAUGUCUCCCUGCUGCCAUGGGGAGCCCUUCGCGCCGCUGCAGCAGGUAUGACCAGCAUAGUAUCUUUGUAGCUAUUUGCUUCCAUGGCACAUCCUCAGAUGAUUAGAGAAUCUGUCGCCGUGGGUGUCUAUCGGCAACAUAGCGCAUCUAAUUAUUUCCACGAGCCCAUCGUCAAUAGCAAGGACGGCACCGACAGACAAAGAGCAUCGGUGGGUGAAAUUUCAGAUAAGAUAUUAUGGGAACCGCAGGUAUAACAUCAGUGAUGCAACUCCAAAUUCUGCAGGUUAGCCACCACCCUGAAUUGCCCCCAAAUCCUAAUCUAAAUUAGUUCGCUUAAUCUUAAAUCCCAAAGUCGAAUUUUGAAUUCAAUUGGUUAUCUGUUAUUGAAAUAACUGUUAAAUCAUCCUGACAACGCAUCAAGAUGGACCACUAUUGGUAGGGUAAGGACACCGGAGUUCCUUUCAACGAUUAUAAUUUUACAUUAUCUUAUUUCUUUUUACUAUUGUGGGAACACACCUGUACGCAUCUUCAGAAACCUUGCUCUUAUGAUCUUAUAUCAAGUCUCAUUUUACACAACAGUAUUUUGUUGAUAUUGUGAAGUUAAUGGCAUCACAAUUAAUUCUGAGAAGCUAUGGAUACCUUGUACGAACAGCAGGAUGACUUGUCCGUAAGUUCUUUGUUUCUUUUUUAUUACUAAUAUUUAACCUGUAGGAGCAAAACCCUCCUAUUUCCUCAAAAACAAAAACAGGAAGAUGACUCGAUCAUAGGCUUCAUUUUUGAAACCUUAGCCUUGAUUUCAUACAUCACAUGUACCCAGUUUGACAUAACAUAGCUGACGGAAUUAUUGGGCCACAUAAUCAUGAGAAAACUGGCUGAGCAUUAAAACAUCGAUAGUCUACAUCACAUUUUUGUUCUUUGCAGAGGUGCUGCCCUCAAAUGGCUCUGACAAUCAAACCAAAUGGUGGUCUUAAUCAAGAACGAGUUUCUGUAAGUAACAGGGUUAUUAUUUUUGAACAGACAAAUCCUCAUGGUUUUGAGUAGAUAUACGCGACUGUCUUACAUGGAGGUACAAUUCCUUAUGCAUUUUUAGUGCACCAAUAAGCCAAUUUGAGCAGUCAUGUUAGUGCCACACUUUACUCAGUCUUGCUUGUUUUCAUCAAUAGUUUUAUUACGAAAAUGAGGGAAACAGGUAACAGCCUUGAGUUCUUUUCCAGAAAAGAAAAUGCUACUCCCUCCCUUCCUAUGUAAACGACUUAAGAAUAUCUUGGUUGUCACUUGAUGGUUGUCCUUUUGCUUCACCUGAACUUUGGUGGCAUUAACUUUUUUCUAACAUUAAUUAUUGAUAAAUAUGUUGAUUCGAUUACAGAUUCAGUUAUAUUUUGUUGGGCCGUCCGAGGACAGUAUAACAUGUCUUUAAUUUCAACUGUCAUCUCAACAAAAGAUGGCUGGCAGGGAGCAUCAAGAAAAUAUCAUCUUUAAUUUUGAUGAUCUUCUUAAAGAUGGCAAACGGGAGCAUCAGGAAAAAUUGUGAAACUUUCCAGUCAACACAAGAUUAACUAUUUCGAGAAUUGCUGCAAGAUGCACAUGAUGAAGAUAUGCCUAGCUACAAGAUGAAUGCCAUUGACUUUGAAGGAUGCAUAGUGGGUUGUCGUUGCUGUUAGGAUACACUCAUGUUUUCUUUGUGUGCGUGAUGAUAUAACAGAGGUGCUUCAUGGUAGCACUUUUUUUUUUGUUGUGUAUGUAUGAUUGUAAGAGUAUAUGUACAUAUUGCAAUUUUAUCAAUUCAAAUGGAUAUAUGAAUUAUGAAGUCAUGUUCA